AGUGAACGCUGGCGGUAGGCCUAACACAUGCAAGUCGAACGGCAGCACAGUAAGAGCUUGCUCUUACGGGUGGCGAGUGGCGGCCGGGUGAGGAAUACAUCGGAAUCUACUUUUUCGUGGGGGAUAACGUAGGGAAACUUACGCUAAUACCGCAUACGACCUACGGGUGAAAGCAGGGGAUCUUCGGACCUUGCGCGAUUGAAUGAGCCGAUGUCGGAUUAGCUAGUUGGCGGGGUAAAGGCCCACCAAGGCGACGAUCCGUAGCUGGUCUGAGAGGAUGAUCAGCCACACUGGAACUGAGACACGCUCCAGACUCCUACGGGAGGCAGCAGUGGGGAAUAUUGGACAAUGGGCGCAAGCCUGAUCCAGCCAUACCGCGUGGGUGAAGAAGGCCUUCGGGUUGUAAAGCCCUUUUGUUGGGAAAGAAAAGCAGCAGGUUAAUACCCCGCUGUUCUGACGGUACCCAAAGAAUAAGCACCGGCUAACUUCGUG
RNAcentral lists this ribosomal RNA (492 nucleotides) under uncultured bacterium. RNAcentral describes it as "partial 16S ribosomal RNA". It matches the Rfam family "Bacterial small subunit ribosomal RNA", at positions 29 to 507 of the family's 1533-position model. The record is from RNAcentral.